GAUGAACGCUGGCGGCGUGCCUAAUACAUGCAAGUCGAGCGAACGGACGAGAAGCUUGCUUCUCUGAUGUUAGCGGCGGACGGGUGAGUAACACGUGGAUAACCUACCUAUAAGACUGGGAUAACUUCGGGAAACCGGAGCUAAUACCGGAUAAUAUUUUUAACCGCAUGGUUCAAAAGUGAAAGACGGCCUUGCUGUCACUUAUAGAUGGAUCCGCGCUGCAUUAGCUAGUUGGUAAGGUAACGGCUUACCAAGGCAACGAUGCAUAGCCGACCUGAGAGGGUGAUCGGCCACACUGGAACUGAGACACGGUCCAGACUCCUACGGGAGGCAGCAGUAGGGAAUCUUCCGCAAAGGGCGAAAGCCUGACGGAGCAACGCCGCGUGAGUGAUGAAGGUCUUCGGAUCGUAAAACUCUGUUAUUAGGGAAGAACAUAUGUGUAGGUAACUGUGCACAUCUUGACGGUACCUAAUCAGAAAGCCACGGCUAACUACGUG
This 497-nucleotide ribosomal RNA is filed under the name uncultured bacterium. RNAcentral's name for it is "partial 16S ribosomal RNA". It matches the Rfam family "Bacterial small subunit ribosomal RNA", at positions 28 to 507 of the family's 1533-position model. The record is from RNAcentral.